AGACCACCACAGGGGAGCGCCUGACACGGCGCUGAGAGUGCGAAGGCAGACCCUUACACCUGAUCCGGAUCAUGCCGGCGGAGGAAGUUGGAGGAGACGAAUG
This 103-nucleotide non-coding RNA is filed under the name Brevibacterium casei. RNAcentral's name for it is "TPP sequence". It matches the Rfam family "TPP riboswitch aptamer (THI element)". From Rfam's summary of the family: Vitamin B(1) in its active form thiamin pyrophosphate (TPP) is an essential coenzyme that is synthesised by coupling of pyrimidine and thiazole moieties in bacteria. The previously detected thiamin-regulatory element, thi box was extended, resulting in a new, highly conserved RNA secondary structure, the THI element, which is widely distributed in eubacteria and also occurs in some archaea. RNAcentral also lists the same sequence under 1 other name. Lineage: Bacteria; Bacillati; Actinomycetota; Actinomycetes; Micrococcales; Brevibacteriaceae. The record is from RNAcentral.